UUUUAACUAAAUUUACCUCCUGAAAUAUUUUCCUUAAAAAUAGGUUUCCAGAUGAGGUGCUCACACAUCAGUUGCCUCACACGCAGGGUUUGCAGUUCAAUAGCUCUGGAAACAAUGACAGUGAAAUUGCAUUAGUGGACCUUUUUCCUUUGUAAGUGCUUAAAGAUCAGACAACUUAAGCAGGAUUUGGAGCUUUUCUGUGAGAUGAGAUCCUGCAGCUGCUCAGCAGAACUGCCUUUCUGGACACUGGUUUCAUUUCAUGAUGUGCUUUUCAUCUGGGAAAAUUGCACCGUUUUAAGUUUAUUUUCAUUGCUGAGGCUGUUUACUGAGUGACAGUGAGUUUUUGUUUUUGUCUUUCUUCCUUCAUCUUAAAAUAUUU
Molecule: long non-coding RNA, 379 nt
Filed under: Taeniopygia guttata (zebra finch)
Lineage: Eukaryota; Metazoa; Chordata; Aves; Passeriformes; Estrildidae
Description: lncRNA (ENSTGUG00000022838.1)
Source: RNAcentral